RNAcentral lists this ribosomal RNA (496 nucleotides) under uncultured bacterium. RNAcentral describes it as "partial 16S ribosomal RNA". It matches the Rfam family "Bacterial small subunit ribosomal RNA", at positions 29 to 507 of the family's 1533-position model. The record is from RNAcentral.
AUGAACGCUGGCGGUGUGCCUCAUACAUGCAAGUCGAGCGAACAGACGAGGAGCUUACUCCUCUGACGUUAGCGGCGGACGGGUGAGUAACACGUGGAUAACCUACCUAUAAGACUGGGAUAACUUCGGGAAACCGGAGCUAAUACCGGAUAACAUGUUGAACCGCAUGGUUCAACAGUGAAAGACGGUCUUGCUGUCACUUAUAGAUGGAUCCGCGUCGCAUUAGCUAGUUGGUAAGGUAACGGCUUACCAAGGCAACGAUGCGUAGCCGACCUGAGAGGGUGAUCGGCCACACUGGAACUGAGACACGGUCCAGACUCCUACGGGAGGCAGCAGUAGGGAAUCUUCCGCAAUGGGCGAAAGCCUGACGGAGCAACGCCGCGUGAGUGAAGAAGGUCUUCGGAUCGUAAAACUCUGUUAUUAGGGAAGAACAAAUGUGUAGGUAACUAUGCACGUCUUGACGGUACCUAAUCAGAAAGCCACGGCUAACUACGUG